GAGGGUAUAGCUCAGUGGUAGAGUGCAUGCUUAGCGUGCACGAGGUCCUGGGUUCCAUCCCAGUGCCUCUA
This 71-nucleotide transfer RNA is filed under the name Camelus bactrianus (Bactrian camel). It matches the Rfam family "tRNA". From Rfam's summary of the family: Transfer RNA (tRNA) molecules are approximately 80 nucleotides in length. Their secondary structure includes four short double-helical elements and three loops (D, anti-codon, and T loops). The record is from Rfam by way of RNAcentral. Lineage: Eukaryota; Metazoa; Chordata; Mammalia; Artiodactyla; Camelidae. RNAcentral also lists the same sequence under 2 other names.